This 545-nucleotide ribosomal RNA is filed under the name Trichoderma brevicompactum. Its description in RNAcentral is "eukaryotic LSU rRNA". The stretch from base 176 to 329 matches the Rfam family "5.8S ribosomal RNA". The record is from RNAcentral. Lineage: Eukaryota; Fungi; Ascomycota; Sordariomycetes; Hypocreales; Hypocreaceae.
UGUGACGUUACCAAACUGUUGCCUCGGCGGGAUUUCUGCCCCGGGCGCGUCGCAGCCCCGGACCAAGGCGCCCGCCGGAGGACCAAUUUACAAACUCUUUUGUAUAUCCCAUCGCGGAUUCUUUACAUUCUGAGCUUUCUCGGCGCUCCUAGCGAGCGUUUCGAAAAUGAAUCAAAACUUUCAACAACGGAUCUCUUGGUUCUGGCAUCGAUGAAGAACGCAGCGAAAUGCGAUAAGUAAUGUGAAUUGCAGAAUUCAGUGAAUCAUCGAAUCUUUGAACGCACAUUGCGCCCGCCAGUAUUCUGGCGGGCAUGCCUGUCCGAGCGUCAUUUCAACCCUCGAACCCCUCCGGGGGGUCGGCGUUGGGGAUCGGCACUUACCUGCCGGCCCCGAAAUACAGUGGCGGUCUCGCCGCAGCCUCUCCUGCGCAGUAGUUUGCACACUCGCACCGGGAGCGCGGCGCGUCCACGGCCGUAAAACAACCCAAACUUCUGAAAUGUUGACCUCGGAUCAGGUAGGAAUACCCGCUGAACUUAAGCAUAUCA